This 468-nucleotide ribosomal RNA is filed under the name uncultured bacterium. Its description in RNAcentral is "partial 16S ribosomal RNA". It matches the Rfam family "Bacterial small subunit ribosomal RNA", at positions 28 to 507 of the family's 1533-position model. The record is from RNAcentral.
GACGAACGCUGGCGGCGUGCUUAACACAUGCAAGUCGAACGGAAAGGCCCUGCUUUUGUGGGGUGCUCGAGUGGCGAACGGGUGAGUAACACGUGAGUAACCUGCCCUUGACUUUGGGAUAACUUCAGGAAACUGGGGCUAAUACCGGAUAGGAGCUCCUGCUGCAUGGUGGGGGUUGGAAAGUUUCGGCGGUUGGGGAUUGACUCGCGGCUUAUCAGCUUGUUGGGGGGGUAGUGGCUUACUAAGGCUUUGGCGGGUAGCCGGCCUGAGAGGGUGACCGGCCACAUUGGGACUGAGCUACGGCCCAGACUCCUACGGGAGGCAGCAGUGGGGAAUAUUGCACAAUGGGCGGAAGCCUGAUGCAGCAACGCCGCGUGCGGGAUGACGGCCUUCGGGUUGUAAACCGCAUUCGCCUGUGACGAAGCGUGAGUGACGGUAAUGGGUAAAGAAGCACCGGCUAACUACGUG